GGCUCUGUGGUGCAAUGGAUAGCGCAUUGGACUUCUUAUUCAAAGGUUGUGGGUUCAAAUCCCACCAGAGUCG
This 73-nucleotide transfer RNA is filed under the name Xenopus tropicalis (tropical clawed frog). RNAcentral's name for it is "tRNA-Arg (TCT) (tRNA-Arg-TCT-43-1)". It matches the Rfam family "tRNA". From Rfam's summary of the family: Transfer RNA (tRNA) molecules are approximately 80 nucleotides in length. Their secondary structure includes four short double-helical elements and three loops (D, anti-codon, and T loops). The record is from RNAcentral. Lineage: Eukaryota; Metazoa; Chordata; Amphibia; Anura; Pipidae.